AACAAACGCUGGCGGCGUGCCUAAUACAUGCAAGUCGAACGGGUAGCAAUACCAGUGGCGCACGGGUGAGGAAUACAUAGAUAAUCUGCCCUCGAGUCGGGGAUAACCAGUCGAAAGAUUGGCUAAUACCGGAUAAGACCACAGGAGCUGAGGCUCUAGGGGUUAAAGGUUUUUCGCUUGAAGAUGAGUCUAUGCGAGAUUAGCUAGUUGGUGAGGUAAUGGCCCACCAAGGCGACGAUCUCUAACUGGUCUUAGAGGAUGAUCAGUCACACUGGAACUGAGACACGGUCCAGACUCCUACGGGAGGCAGCAGUAGGGAAUAUUGCGCAAUGGGGGAAACCCUGACGCAGCGACGCCGCGUGAGUGAUGAAGGCCUUCGGGUCGUAAAGCUCUGUCGUAUGGAAUAACACAAUGAAUGUACCAUGCAAGAAAGGAUCGGCUAACUUCGUGCCAGCAGCCGCCGUAA
Molecule: ribosomal RNA, 466 nt
Filed under: uncultured bacterium
Lineage: Bacteria
Description: partial 16S ribosomal RNA
Rfam family: Bacterial small subunit ribosomal RNA
Source: RNAcentral